Molecule: ribosomal RNA, 497 nt
Filed under: uncultured bacterium
Lineage: Bacteria
Description: partial 16S ribosomal RNA
Rfam family: Bacterial small subunit ribosomal RNA
Source: RNAcentral
GAUGAACGCUGGCGGCGUGCCUAAUACAUGCAAGUCGAGCGAACAGACGAGGAGCUUGCUCCUCUGACGUUAGCGGCGGACGGGUGAGUAACACGUGGAUAACCUACCUAUAAGACUGGGAUAACUUCGGGAAACCGGAGCUAAUACCGGAUAACAUCUUGAACCGCAUGGUUCAAUAGUGAAAGCCGGCCUUGCUGUCACUUCUAGAUGGUUCCGCGCCGCAUUAGCUAGUUGGUAAGGUAACGGCUUACCAAGGCAACGAUGCGUAGCCGACCUGAGAGGGUGAUCGGCCACACUGGAACUGAGACACGGUCCAGACUCCUACGGGAGGCAGCAGUAGGGAAUCUUCCGCAAAGGGCGAAAGCCUGACGGAGCAACGCCGCGUGAGUGAAGAAGGUCUUCGGAUCGUAAAACUCUGUUAUUAGGGAAGAACAAAUGUGUAAGUAACUAUGCACGUCUUGACGGUACCUAAUCAGAAAGCCACGGCUAACUACGUG